CCUACGGGAGGCAGCAGUGGGGAAUAUUGGACAAUGGGGGCAACCCUGAUCCAGCCAUGCCGCGUGUGUGAAGAAGGCCCUCGGGUUGUAAAGCACUUUCAGUGAGGAAGAACGCCUGGUGGUUAAUACCCAUCAGGAAAGACAUCACUCACAGAAGAAGCACCGGCUAACUCCGUGCCAGCAGCCGCGGUAAUACGGAGGGUGCGAGCGUUAAUCGGAAUUACUGGGCGUAAAGCGCGCGUAGGUGGCUUGAUAAGCCGGUUGUGAAAGCCCCGGGCUCAACCUGGGAACGGCAUCCGGAACUGUCAAGCUAGAGUGCAGGAGAGGAAGGUAGAAUUCCCGGUGUAGCGGUGAAAUGCGUAGAGAUCGGGAGGAAUACCAGUGGCGAAGGCGCCCUUCUGGACUGACACUGACACUGAGGUGCGAAAGCGUGGGUAGCAAACAGGAGUAGAUACCCCUGUAGUC
Molecule: ribosomal RNA, 465 nt
Filed under: Vreelandella stevensii
Lineage: Bacteria; Pseudomonadati; Pseudomonadota; Gammaproteobacteria; Oceanospirillales; Halomonadaceae
Description: partial 16S ribosomal RNA
Rfam family: Bacterial small subunit ribosomal RNA
Source: RNAcentral